Nomascus leucogenys (northern white-cheeked gibbon) is the source of this 66-nucleotide long non-coding RNA. It matches the Rfam family "Maternally expressed 8 exon 3". The record is from Rfam. NCBI's taxonomy places the organism in Eukaryota, Metazoa, Chordata, Mammalia, Primates, Hylobatidae.
UUGGCUUGGUCAAGUCAGUGUUCAAACUAUUUCCUGCUCUUUCAAGGGGAUCUGGGGCCCUAGAAG